UUUCCGUAGGUGAACCUGCGGAAGGAUCAUUAAUUAUAUAAGGCCACAUGGCAAGCUUUCCGAAAGUAUCGAGCUUGCUGUGUGAACCCUACCUACCCUUGCUUUUUGCGUACCCAUUGUUUCCUCGGCAGGCUUGCCUGCCAGUAGGACCCCCUUAAACCCUUUGUAAUUGCAGUCAGCGUCAGAAACGACGUAAUCGUUACAACUUUCAACAACGGAUCUCUUGGUUCUG
This 232-nucleotide unclassified non-coding RNA is filed under the name plant metagenome. RNAcentral's name for it is "partial contains small subunit ribosomal RNA, internal transcribed spacer 1, and 5.8S ribosomal RNA". The record is from RNAcentral.